CGACAACAGCUGCCUAUCACUAUGUUCUUCUCCCGAACAAACACACCUGCACCGCGGGCUUCAGAAGAAGAGAACACUGCAGAGCGCAGUCAGGAUGCAGCGGCCCAGUCUGAAGAGCAGUGAAACGGCCUACACCUAUAACAACUUCAGAGGAAGCUGGUCGGCCAUAACACGAGGUUCGGCCUGAUAGACUUUCGCCUGGCACUCUGCAAGGAUGGAGAAACGGACGUAUGGUUUCCCAGGAGCAUUGCAGCAGUCGACUGAUUCGGGAGGAAGCGUGGCUCAGAAAUGUUACCUGCUGUGCUUAUCUCCUCUGAGAAGAACACCACCUUCACCUGGACGAGACGGCAGUCUGAAAGGUGAAAUAACAGGCGAUGUGCGUGCAGUCGGCUUGAAGCUCUUCCGAUCUGCGGCUGUCGGGUCACUGAGGUGCUAACGAAAUGAUUGAUCCCACGGACGCCGUCCGGUCACGCUCGUCGCUUCCCUCAGGCCUCAGGCUGGCCAAUCGUCCUCCCAGUAAAACCAGC
Long non-coding RNA from Gasterosteus aculeatus aculeatus (three-spined stickleback), 527 nucleotides. Lineage: Eukaryota; Metazoa; Chordata; Actinopteri; Perciformes; Gasterosteidae. The record is from Ensembl.